RNAcentral lists this ribosomal RNA (253 nucleotides) under uncultured bacterium. RNAcentral's name for it is "partial 16S ribosomal RNA". It matches the Rfam family "Bacterial small subunit ribosomal RNA", at positions 524 to 776 of the family's 1533-position model. The record is from RNAcentral.
GACGGAGGGCCCGAACGUUGUGCGGAUUCACUGGGCGUAAAGCGCGCGCAGGCGGCUUACUCAGUGGCUUGUGAAAGUUCCCGGCUCAACCGUGGGAGGGCAUGGCAAACUGGGAAGCUCGAGGCGCGGAGAGGCCCGUCGAAUUGCCGGUGUAGCGGUGAAAUGCGUAGAGAUCGGCAGGAAGACCAGGGGGGAAGGCGGGCGGCUGGCCGCGGGCUGACGCUGAGGCGCGAAAGCUUGGGGAGCAAACCGG